UACAGAGGUCCCGAGCGUUGUUCGGAUUCAUUGGGCGUAAAGGGUGCGUAGGCGGUCUGCUAAGUUUUGAUGUGAAAUCCCGGGGGCUCAACCCUGGAAUGGCAUUGAAUACUGGCGGACUAGAGUACCGGAGAGGAAACUGGAAUUACGGUGUAGCAGUGAAAUGCGUAGAGAUCGUAAGGAAGACCAGUGGCGAAGCGAGUUUCUGGACGGUAACUGAC
Molecule: ribosomal RNA, 221 nt
Filed under: uncultured bacterium
Lineage: Bacteria
Description: partial 16S ribosomal RNA
Rfam family: Bacterial small subunit ribosomal RNA
Source: RNAcentral